GAGUUUGAUCCUGGCUCAGGACGAACGCUGGCGGCGUGCUUAACACAUGCAAGUCGAACGGAAAGGCCCCGCUCGCGGGGUACUCGAGUGGCGAACGGGUGAGUAACACGUGGGUGAUCUGGCCUGCACUUCGGGAUAAGCCUGGGAAACUGGGUCUAAUACCGGAUAUGACCUCCCUUUAGUGUGGGGGGUGGAAAGAUUUAUCGGUGCAGGGUGAGCCCGCGGCCUAUCAGCUUGUUGGUGGGGUAAUGGCCUACCAAGGCGUCGACGGGUAGCCGGCCUGAGAGGGUGGACGGCCACAUUGGGACUGAGAUACGGCCCAGACUCCUACGGGAGGCAGCAGUGGGGAAUAUUGCACAAUGGGCGGAAGCCUGAUGCAGCGACGCCGCGUGGGGGAUGACGGCCUUCGGGUUGUAAACCUCUUUCGACAGGGACGAAGUGAAAAUGACGGUACCUGUAUAAGAAGCACCGGCUAACUACGUGCCAGCAGCCGCGGUAAUACGUAGGGUGCGAGCGUUGUCCGGAAUUACUGGGCGUAAAGAGCUCGUACGUGGUUUGUCACGUCGUCUGUGAAAUUCCGGGGCUUAACCUCGGGCGUGCACGCGAUACGGGCAAUACUUGACUGCUGUAGGGGAGACUGGAAUUCCUGGUGUACCGGUGAAAUGCGCAGAUAUCAGGAGGGAACACCAAUGGCGAAGGCAGGUCUCUGGGCAGUUACUGACGCUGAGGAGCGAAAGCAUGGGUAGCGAACAGGAUUAGAUACCCUGGUAGUCCAUGCCGUAAACGGUGGGCGCUAGGUGUAGGGGACUUCCACGUUCUCUGUGCCGUAGCUAACGCAUUAAGCGCCCCGCCUGGGGAGUACGGCCGCAAGGCUAAAACUCAAAGGAAUUGACGGGGGCCCGCACAAGCGGCGGAGCAUGUGGAUUAAUUCGAUGCAACGCGAAGAACCUUACCUGGGCUUGACAUACACCGGACCGGCGUAGAGAUACGUCUUCCCUUGUGGCCGGUGUACAGGUGGUGCAUGGUUGCCGUCAGCUCGUGUCGUGAGAUGUUGGGUUAAGUCCCGCAACGAGCGCAACCCUUGUCUUAUGUUGCCAGCACGUGAUGGUGGGGACUCAUGAGAGACUGCCGGGGUCAACUCGGAGGAAGGUGGGGAUGACGUCAAAUCAUCAUGCCCCUUAUGUCCAGGGCUUCACACAUGCUACAAUGGUCGGUACAGCAGGUCGCGAACUCGUGAGAGUAAGCCAAUCCUUCAAAGCCGGCCUCAGUUCGGAUUGGGGUCUGCAACUCGACCCCAUGAAGUCGGAGUCGCUAGUAAUCGCAGAUCAGCAACGCUGCGGUGAAUACGUUCCCGGGCCUGUACACACCGCCCGUC
Molecule: ribosomal RNA, 1375 nt
Filed under: uncultured bacterium
Lineage: Bacteria
Description: bacterial SSU rRNA
Rfam family: Bacterial small subunit ribosomal RNA
Source: RNAcentral